Molecule: ribosomal RNA, 225 nt
Filed under: uncultured Pseudomonadales bacterium
Lineage: Bacteria; Pseudomonadati; Pseudomonadota; Gammaproteobacteria; Pseudomonadales
Description: partial 16S ribosomal RNA
Rfam family: Bacterial small subunit ribosomal RNA
Source: RNAcentral
GGUAGUAAUGCCUAGGAAUCUGCCUGGUAGUGGGGGACAACGUUUCGAAAGGAACGCUAAUACCGCAUACGUCCUACGGGAGAAAGCAGGGGACCUUCGGGCCUUGCGCUAUCAGAUGAGCCUAGGUCGGAUUAGCUAGUUGGUGAGGUAAUGGCUCACCAAGGCGACGAUCCGUAACUGGUCUGAGAGGAUGAUCAGUCACACUGGAACUGAGACACGGUCCAG